Molecule: long non-coding RNA, 2132 nt
Filed under: Calidris pygmaea (Spoon-billed sandpiper)
Lineage: Eukaryota; Metazoa; Chordata; Aves; Charadriiformes; Scolopacidae
Description: lncRNA (ENSCPGG00000010849.1)
Source: RNAcentral
UUCAGUCAGGCAUCCUUGCACCAAACAAGCUCGUCUGCUCCCUCCCCUGUGGGUUUGAAUUAGUCCCACUUUACAUUAGUUUCAAACACCUGUAACUACAGUUCCAUGACAAUUUAAGCGGCCCUUUAACCCUACGCUCUCCCACAAACCAAACGUGCAUUCCUGCUCCCCCCUUUCCACUGGCUUUUGCUGUUAUCAGAUCUUGUGGUGGGCCCAGUCAGGGAGCUGAAAUGGUAGGAAAAUAAUCUAACUAAAGUGAAUAUUUGCUUUACCACUGGACAAGUUGAGAACAAUUAAGUAUAUCUUGAAUAAUUCUGAGCUCAACAGGGCAUGAGUGGUACUUCUGUAUGAUAAAAGCAUAGGAAAUCCUUAACUGUUAUUCUGUAUGGUUAGUGUCAAAGUAAUCUUACAUAUUUUUAUACAUACAUUGCAUUGAAGAGGGCAUUCUUAAACAUGUAGCUUUUGAAAAUUUUACUUAAGUAGACUGAAAAAUUGAUUAAAGAGGUGAAUGGACAUGGAGAUUUUUAACUGUAGAUUUAAACCUAGCUCUGACCAGAUGUAUCCCACUCUUUUGCAUAGUCUAGUGGCCUGAUGGUAAAGCUCAUCCACGUUUAUUAGCUGUCUUGUUGGAAUCUAAGCGAAGAAAUCAAAGUCCAAAUAUAUCCAACGUGAACUGAUAUAUCCCUGCAGAGGCACCUUCGCUGGUUAUAAUGAGAAGGAAAAACCGAAUGCAAACUGCCUGGGGGUGCAUUGCCCAACGCUGGGAGCUGCUGUAGUUAUGGCUGGAGGCCACCAACACAACUGCUCCUCUUCUCCUGCUCAGGCUCAAUGCUCAUUGCCAUCCUGGGAUGCUCUGGGGGAGAAGAAGAUCUUUGAAAAGCCAUUCUGGGGAAAGUUUUGUGCUCACUUACAAAUACAACAUAACCGUGUGGAACCUGGAUGAGGUAGUCUUUUAAUGUGGUUAAGUUUUUAUGGAAAUGAAACUCGUGAAGUUCAUAAACAGAACUGUUAUUUGUUUGCACGUGCUGUUUCUGUUACAGGGAGGUGCUACACACGCACCCAUAAAAUGUGCCUUUCAGCUCAAGUUUCAGGAUCCCUUUAAUCCAGUCCGAGGCUAUCGGGGUGGGUUCUGCCUUUUCCUCCUCGCCUUUUGGCCUUUUCCCCUGUGUUGGUGGAGCAGUUUUCACCAGGGCUGUGAGCGGAGUGACCCGCUCCCCGGCUGCACGCUCAGAUUGAAGCUGUGGGGCAGCCUGGGAGGUGCUCUGUGUCAAGGAAGAAGGUUGGAGCCUUCCUGGUGUAUUUUCCUGCCUGGCAAACCCUUGUUUACGAACUGGAGAGCAAAGAAAACCCUGAAGGAUAAAAAUUGUGAAAAAUGGAGAGCCUGCUGCUGUUACCUCAAACCUCACCUCAGACAGCGUACAGGGCAGUAACUUCAAUGUCUGAAGAUUCUGUCCUCAACAUACUGGAAUCUCCAAGAGCUUCCAAUGGUGGCUGAGCUGACUCUGUGCCCGUCCCAAAGCAUAAAUGAAGGCGCUGUGGCUUCAGAUGAUAAACCAGAUUGUCACCGUCACGGUGACAAUUCCAGUUGGCCUUGGCCGGUUUGGAGCUAAGAGCUGGCACUGGCUGAGCCCGCUGUGGUGACUUGACGGGAGAUUUGCUGGCCAACACAGGGAAAAUGGAUUUGUAAAAUAAUUGAAGAGUGGGGCAGGCAGAGCAGUGGAAUGGGAGUUCUGUGACCGUCGGCUUAACAUAACUUUAUAUAUACGGAAUUUUAAUACAGACUGAACAAAAAGCAAAGGAGAGGUGUGAAGAAGAACUACCCGUACUUAGCUCUUCUUUGUUUAUAAUGUUUUCCUAAUCUUAGUUAUUAAAAUGAAGUUUUAAUUUCUUUAGAAGUUAUUCGCAAAGGAAAAACUGUGUCAGAAAUAUCAUUGAUGUCAAAUUUGAAUAUAUCUCAUAAACUUUAGACUUUGAAAAAAUCCCUUCUGGUUUCUGUUACCUGGGUUUUUCAUCUUUUUUGGUAUUGCAGUGUCAGCUCACUGUUCCAGCAGGUAUCGUGCAGAAUAUUCUGGAGAUCUAGGUUUCCACUGCUUGUGCUGGAAACGUUGGCCAAGUGUUGGCCAAGUGCAGGG